UACGUAGGUGGCAAGCGUUGUCCGGAUUUAUUGGGCGUAAAGGGAGCGCAGGCGGUGACUUAAGUCUGAUGUGAAAGCCCACGGCUCAACCGUGGAAGGUCAUUGGAAACUGGGUCACUUGAAUACAGAAGAGGAAAGUGGAAUUCCAUGUGUAGCGGUGAAAUGCGUAGAUAUAUGGAGGAACACCAGUGGCGAAGGCGACUUUCUGGUCUGUUAUUGACGCUGAGGCUCGAAAGCAUGGGUAGCAAACAGG
This 253-nucleotide ribosomal RNA is filed under the name uncultured bacterium. RNAcentral describes it as "partial 16S ribosomal RNA". It matches the Rfam family "Bacterial small subunit ribosomal RNA", at positions 524 to 776 of the family's 1533-position model. The record is from RNAcentral.